This 253-nucleotide ribosomal RNA is filed under the name uncultured bacterium. Its description in RNAcentral is "partial 16S ribosomal RNA". It matches the Rfam family "Bacterial small subunit ribosomal RNA", at positions 524 to 776 of the family's 1533-position model. The record is from RNAcentral.
UACGUAGGGUGCAAGCGUUAAUCGGAAUUACUGGGCGUAAAGCGUGCGCAGGCGGUGAUGUAAGUCAGGUGUGAAAGCCCCGGGCUCAACCCGGGAAGUGCAUCUGAUACUGCGUAGCUUGAGUACCGAAGAGGAUAGUGGAAUUCCAGGUGUAGUGGUGAAAUACGUAGAUAUCUGGAGGAACACCGGUGGCGAAGGCGGCUAUCUGGUCGAGUACUGACACUGAGACACGAAAGCAUGGGGAUCAAACAGG